AGGCCAUUAUGACAACAAUGCCUCUGUUUCCUCCAGAUUCUUGGCUGUCACUAUCCUGACCUACCACCUGUGUCACAUCCCAUUAGGUUCUGUGGAUGAGGCAUGGUGCUUGGCACAGACUGACACAAGUUUGGGCAAACUUGGCAGAGCAGCCUAACCCAAAGCGAAAAACAGAAAUGAACCAAGAUACAACCUCUGUGGAAAACCCUACUGAACAAAAGCAACUCUGUGGAGUGUCCUCUCAGCUGCAAAUUGAGACAGAAUUGUGGGGCAAGCUUGGCCACUGAUGCAGUUUUGUCAUUUCAAGAACAUUGUAUAUAUGGAGUUAUAUAUGGACUCACACAGAUUCUGCAGCUUGCUACACAGAAAGCCAGAGACCGAGAGCCAAUGACUGAGACUAUGAGUAUUGCCAAGGAAGAAGGCUUUAAUCGGGUGCUGCAGCUGAAAAGAUGAGAGCUCAGCCUCAAAUCCAUCUCCCUGACCAACUAAAGCUAAGGAUUUAUAUAGCAGGGAAGAAGACAGGAACUAGGAAGGGGCAAGGAAGCGAUCCUGAUGAAUGAAGGGUCAGGCAUUUCAUUGUCUGGAUGUGGCGAUCUGCUCACACUGGUCACACCUGGGACUUCCAACAUGAAUGCUUUUGUCACGGAUGCUGCGCUGCUGCUGUUUCUGGUUCUUACUCUGCUUACACCAAGGAGACUGAUGUCCCUGCUAUAACCCCACUUCCGAUGCAGACAGCAAUUCCAAUGCAUUGCAGCUUUCAGGAUUUUCUCACUGUGUUUUUGCCUCUCCUUUUCUUUAAGACAUGAGCAUUUGUCUACGGGGAUGGCCUGAAGUGUAGUCUCCAUUACCCAGAGUCAUCUCACUCUCUGACCUUGACUCAUGAUCUGAGAACAAGUGCUCCCCUGCUUGUCUUCCUGAGGGGCAUCUGUCCCUCUUGCAAACAGAUUUCCUUUGGGCUCUGUCAUUUAGAAAUGCCCUUAUUUAUCUGAAUUAUAGUUCCAGUUCAGAACAUUUACAAAGGAACAGAUUGCUCCCAAUUUUAAAGCAGGUAAAUUCUAAAAGUUGGCAAGCCAGUCAUUUAGAAUUUGAGCCUCAUAUUCCAUAGGUAUGAAAUUAUACAUAAUGAAAAAGUUCCCAGGGCAGCCCACAAAAAGCCUACUUAUCCAAAAUAAAGCUAACCUGAGUUAAUUCA
Molecule: long non-coding RNA, 1192 nt
Filed under: Homo sapiens (human)
Lineage: Eukaryota; Metazoa; Chordata; Mammalia; Primates; Hominidae
Description: novel transcript
Source: RNAcentral